This 89-nucleotide transfer RNA is filed under the name Clostridia bacterium. RNAcentral's name for it is "tRNA-Leu". It matches the Rfam family "tRNA". Rfam says of the family: Transfer RNA (tRNA) molecules are approximately 80 nucleotides in length. The record is from RNAcentral. Lineage: Bacteria; Bacillati; Bacillota; Clostridia.
GCCGGGGUGGCGGAACUGGCAGACGCACAGGACUUAAAAUCCUGCGGGAGUCAAAUCCCGUACCGGUUCGAUUCCGGUCCCCGGCACCA